AGGGUUCGAUCAUGGCUCAGAACGUACGCUGGCGGCACGCCUAACACAUGCAAGUCGAACGAAGUAGCAAUACUUAGUGGCAGACGGGUGAGUAACAUGUAGGUAUCUGCCCUUUGGCCUGGAAUAACACGAGGAAACUUGUGCUAAUACCGGAUAAGUCUUUACAGAGAAAGCUUUAUGCACCAUUGGAUGAGCCUGCACUUGAUUAGUUUGUUGGUGGGGUAGUGGCCUACCAAGACUGUGAUCAAUAGCUGAUUUGAGAGGAUGAUCAGCCACAUUGGGACUGAGACACGGCCCAAACUCCUACGGGAGGCAGCAGUGGGGAAUCUUGCACAAUGGAGGAAACUCUGAUGCAGCGAUGCCGCGUGAGUGAAGAAGGCCUUUGGGUUGUAAAGCUCUUUCGUCGGGGAAGAAAAUGACUGUACCCGAAUAAGAAGGUCCGGCUAACUUCGUGCCAGCAGCCGCGGUAAUACGAAGGGACCUAGCGUAGUUCGGAAUUACUGGGCUUAAAGAGUUCGUAGGUGGUUGAAAAAGUUAGUGGUGAAAUCCCAGAGCUUAACUCUGGAACUGCCAUUAAAACUUUUCAGCUAGAGUAUGAUAGAGGAAAGCAGAAUUUCUAGUGUAGAGGUGAAAUUCGUAGAUAUUAGAAAGAAUACCAAUUGCGAAGGCAGCUUUCUGGAUCAUUACUGACACUGAGGAACGAAAGCAUGGGUAGCGAAGAGGAUUAGAUACCCUCGUAGUCCAUGCCGUAAACGAUGUGUGUUAGACGUUGGAAAUUUAUUUUCAGUGUCGCAGGGAAACCGAUAAACACACCGCCUGGGGAGUACGACCGCAAGGUUAAAACUCAAAUGAAUUGACGGGGACCCGCACAAGUAGUGGAGCAUGUGGUUUAAUUCGAAGAUACGCGCAGAACCUUACCAACACUUGACAUGUUCGUCGCGACUCUAAGAGAUUARAGUUUUCGGUUCGGCCGGACGAAACACAGGUGCUGCAUGGCUGUCGUCAGCUCGUGUCGUGAGAUGUUGGGUUAAGUCCCGCAACGAGCGCAACCCUCACUUUUAGUUGCCAUCAUUAAGUUGGGCACUCUGAAAGAACUGCCAGUGAUAAGCUGGAGGGAGGUGGGGAUGACGUCAAGUCCUCAUGGCCCUUACGUGUUGGGCUACACACGUGCUACAAUGGUAUCUACAACAGGAAGCAAGACUGCGAAGUUAAGCAAAUCCCUAAAAGAUACCUCAGUUCGGAUUGCACUCUGCAACUCGAGUGCAUGAAGCUGGAAUUACUAGUUAUCGUGGAUCGGCGUGCCACGGUGAAUGCGUUCCCGGGUCUUGUACACACCGCCCGUCACACCAUGGGAGUUGGUUCAACCUUAAGGCAAGGUUUCAAACCCUUGACCACGGUAUAGUCAGCGACUGGGGUGAAGUCGUAACAAGGUAGCCA
This 1437-nucleotide ribosomal RNA is filed under the name uncultured bacterium. RNAcentral describes it as "bacterial SSU rRNA". It matches the Rfam family "Bacterial small subunit ribosomal RNA". The record is from RNAcentral.